RNAcentral lists this ribosomal RNA (460 nucleotides) under uncultured bacterium. RNAcentral's name for it is "partial 16S ribosomal RNA". It matches the Rfam family "Bacterial small subunit ribosomal RNA", at positions 338 to 795 of the family's 1533-position model. The record is from RNAcentral.
CCUACGGGAGGCAGCAGUGAGGAAUAUUGGUCAAUGGGCGGGAGCCUGAACCAGCCAAGUCGCGUGAGGGAAGACGGUCCUAUGGAUCGUAAACCUCUUUUAUAAGGGAAUAAAGUGUGGGACGUGUCCUGUUUUGUAUGUACCUUAUGAAUAAGGAUCGGCUAACUCCGUGCCAGCAGCCGCGGUAAUACGGAGGAUCCGAGCGUUAUCCGGAUUUAUUGGGUUUAAGGGGUGCGUAGGCGGCCUUUUAAGUCAGCGGUGAAAGUCUGUGGCUCAACCAUAGAAUGGCCGUUGAAACUGGGAGGCUUGAGUAUGUUUGAGGCAGGCGGAAUGGGUGGUGUAGCGGUGAAAUGCUUAGAUAUCACGCAGAACCCCGAUUGCGAAGGCAGCCUGCCAAGCCAUGACUGACGCUGAUGCACGAAAGCGUGGGGAUCAAACAGGAUUAGAUACCCGGGUAGUC